GGGAGUAUAGCUCAGGUGGUUAGAGCGCAGCCCUGAUAAGGCUGAGGUCAAUGGUUCGAGGCCAUUUACUCCCA
RNAcentral lists this transfer RNA (74 nucleotides) under Pseudomonadota bacterium. RNAcentral describes it as "tRNA-Ile". It matches the Rfam family "tRNA". From Rfam's summary of the family: Transfer RNA (tRNA) molecules are approximately 80 nucleotides in length. Their secondary structure includes four short double-helical elements and three loops (D, anti-codon, and T loops). RNAcentral also lists the same sequence under 3 other names. The record is from RNAcentral. Lineage: Bacteria; Pseudomonadati; Pseudomonadota.